GAACAGCUAUGUCCCUCUGUUUCAGGUGUAUUGAGAGCGUGGUGACUGAAGGAUGUACAGAAAGCCAAGCUGGGAGUGGAAGCACAGCCACAAAUGCAUGUGCACAGAGACCUGUCUGUAAUUCGUAGCUCACCAGGGUCUGCAGGUCAGAGGCUGAAAAGUGCUGCAUCAAAGGGGCUGAGUGUUGGAGAUGUGGCUGAGAUGGAAAUGAAGGUCUAAAGUCCCAAACUGGAAACCACCCAGGCCUCCUUGCUCAACUCCCUCCUGAUGCUCUGUGUCUCCUGCUGCCCUGAGACUGAGCGUGGCUGGGUGUUCCACUUCUGAACUUCCGUGCUGAUGCCCUAGGAUGUGGAGGAACAGCUGCCAUUUGG
Long non-coding RNA from Lagopus leucura (white-tailed ptarmigan), 371 nucleotides. RefSeq lists it as uncharacterized. NCBI's taxonomy places the organism in Eukaryota, Metazoa, Chordata, Aves, Galliformes, Phasianidae. The record is from RefSeq and is a predicted model, not a curated record. The transcript has 3 exons.